GGGGGUAUAGCUUAGUGGUAGAGCACAUGCUUAGCAUGCACGAGUUCUUGGAGUCAAUCCUCAGUACCUCCA
RNAcentral lists this transfer RNA (72 nucleotides) under Camelus bactrianus (Bactrian camel). It matches the Rfam family "tRNA". Rfam says of the family: Transfer RNA (tRNA) molecules are approximately 80 nucleotides in length. Their secondary structure includes four short double-helical elements and three loops (D, anti-codon, and T loops). Further hydrogen bonds mediate the characteristic L-shaped molecular structure. tRNAs have two regions of fundamental functional importance: the anti-codon, which is responsible for specific mRNA codon recognition, and the 3' end, to which the tRNAs corresponding amino acid is attached (by aminoacyl-tRNA synthetases). tRNAs cope with the degeneracy of the genetic code in two manners: having more than one tRNA (with a specific anti-codon) for a particular amino acid; and 'wobble' base-pairing, i.e. permitting non-standard base-pairing at the 3rd anti-codon position. RNAcentral also lists the same sequence under 1 other name. The record is from Rfam by way of RNAcentral. Lineage: Eukaryota; Metazoa; Chordata; Mammalia; Artiodactyla; Camelidae.